RNAcentral lists this ribosomal RNA (425 nucleotides) under uncultured bacterium. Its description in RNAcentral is "bacterial SSU rRNA". It matches the Rfam family "Bacterial small subunit ribosomal RNA", at positions 359 to 776 of the family's 1533-position model. The record is from RNAcentral.
GAAUAUUGGACAAUGGGGGAAACCCUGAUCCAGCCAUGCCGCGUGUGUGAAGAAGGCCUUCGGGUUGUAAAGCACUUUCAGUUGGGAAGAAAAGUUGUCGGUUAAUACCCGGCAGCCUUGACAUUACCUACAGAAGACGCACCGGCAAACUCCGUCCCAGCAGCCGCGGUAAUACGGAGGGUGCAAGCGUUAAUCGGAAUUACUGGGCGUAAAGCGCACGUAGGCGGUUUGUUAAGCAGGAUGUGAAAUCCCCGGGCUCAACCUGGGAACUGCAUCCUGAACUGGCAGGCUAGAGUGUAGUAGAGGGUAGUGGAAUUCCUGGUGUAGCAGUGAAAUGCGUAGAUAUCAGGAGGAACACCGGUGGCGAAGGCGGCUACCUGGACUAACACUGACGCUGAGGUGCGAAAGCGUGGGGAGCAAACAGG